Molecule: long non-coding RNA, 922 nt
Organism: Micropterus salmoides (largemouth bass)
Lineage: Eukaryota; Metazoa; Chordata; Actinopteri; Centrarchiformes; Centrarchidae
Exons: 3
Source: RefSeq, a predicted model, not a curated record
UCGAAGCAUGGUACGUUUUUUUUUUAUUUCAGGGGUGGUCUUUCACUUUUAUCUUUAGUGAAAAUCCUCUCCAAUCUCUCCAAUAUUACCUUUUAAUAUCAAAGCUGUCAGACGUUUGACUGUCAGUCUCUUUUUAAUAUUGGACAAUUGUCUGUUUUGUAAGUUAAACAGAUCUGAAGGAUAGCAACAUCUACUCUAUGCACGUAUGUGCCCAGUUUGUCUUAAUACACAAUUGACUAAAGUGACAACACAAAGCACCUUUAAAGAAUGGAAUGUAAAUCUGUACCAGUGGCAGUUCAUUAUUGCAUUAAAGAUUUCUUUACAGCCCAGUAUUUACAAUGUAUUUUACAUGAGUUUUGAUUAGUCUCUCAAAGAUUUCCCAAGUGGGCCUCAUGAAAGAAUUUGCAGAAAAAGAAUUGGUAGCAUGUUUCUCCACCAUGAAAUUAUUAUGUAGACAAACUGUAUAUAGACAGUAACUGACACUGACAUACCAAAGUAAAAAGCAAGAGUGUGGUGGUUGUGGUAUAUGUACAUUAUCUCCUACAGUAAAUACUGUACAGUACACAGAAAGACUGUAGAACUUUUAAUCAAACAAAACAAAAUUUUAGCUGCCCAGCCUUAAUUCAAAUGCUCUUGACCAAAGCUCUGUUAUCUUUGGUCAGUGUGGAGGAGCAAGCUGCUCAAACAUUGUCAGCUCAGUUGCUGGGAAAAGGCAUGGCAGGAGUACAUUCCCACUCUGGCAGCAGAUCUAUCACUAAAUGAGCAGAGAGUACUUUGCUUCAACUCAGACCAGAACAAGAUUGGAACAUGGAGAGAUGGUAGCCUUUGAGGAGAAACAUGAGUGAGAAAAAAGGCAGACAUAGAAGAGAAGAGCACGAGCACAUUAAAACUGAUCUUUGAUCUACGGAAGUGAGAAGACCCC